UGGGGAAUUUUGGACAAUGGGGGCAACCCUGAUCCAGCAAUGCCGCGUGAGUGAAGAAGGCCUUCGGGUUGUAAAGCUCUUUUGUCAGGGAAGAAACAGCUGCUUUAACACAGUCUGUGAAUGACGGUACCUGAAGAAUAAGCACCGGCUAACUACGUGCCAGCAGCCGCGGUAAUACGUAGGGUGCAAGCGUUAAUCGGAAUUACUGGGCGUAAAGCGUGCGCAGGCGGUUAUACAAGACAGGCGUGAAAUCCCCGGGCUUAACCUGGGAAUGGCGUCUGUGACUGUAUAGCUAGAGUGUGUCAGAGGGGGGUAGAAUUCCACGUGUAGCAGUGAAAUGCGUAGAUAUGUGGAGGAACACCAAUGGCGAAGGCAGCCCCCUGGGAUAACACUGACGCUCAUGCACGAAAGCGUGGGGAGCAAACCAGGAUUAGAUACCCCUGGUAGUCCACGCCCUAAACGAUGCCGACUAGUUGUUGGGAAUUUACAGCCUCAGUAACGAGCUAACGCGUGAAGUCUCCGCCUG
RNAcentral lists this ribosomal RNA (526 nucleotides) under uncultured bacterium. RNAcentral describes it as "bacterial SSU rRNA". It matches the Rfam family "Bacterial small subunit ribosomal RNA", at positions 355 to 875 of the family's 1533-position model. The record is from RNAcentral.